CAUGUCUGUGUCCGUCGUCAGAGACCGGUCGUCACUAGUUAAAACAGCCACAAAGUCUGAAUUAUGGCUAAACCCCGCCCAUUUCAACAAUUUAUCUUGUUAAAAUCGGAUUUAAAACCCAACCACAAUACUAACCGAAUACCUUACCCUAGCCUUAAAUUAAGGCCAAAAAGCUAAAUGCUGUAGACAAUUUUGACUCUGUGGUUGUGUUACCUAGUGUGGAAACCAGCUACAUGCUAUAGCCACGUAACGUCUUUAAAUCAUCUCCGUUUUUGUAGUGGAUUGAUUGAUUGAUAUUAGCUCGAUCGUAGGCUAAAUCUACCGAAAUGGGGAAGAGGGACAAUAGAGUGUCUUAUGUGAACCCAAUAGCUGCAUCACGUGCCAGUGGACCCCCACCCAAUGCAGGACCCUCUAUCCAGGAUUACCUGAGCAGACCACGGCCAACAUGGGAAGAGGUGAAGGAGAUCAUAGACAGGAAGAAGAAAGGCUCCAGAGCCCUGGCGGACUUUGAGGACCAAAUGAACGAGAAUUGGAAGAAGGAGCUGGCGAAGAACAGAGAGAAGUUACUAGGUGGCGUUGACAAAGAGAAGGAGAAGAAAGAGAAAAAGAAGAGAGUGAAAGGAAGGAAAGGAAAGAAAUCCAACAGGCAUUCCUCUCCAUCCUCCUCAUCAAGUUCUGAUUCCUCUAGCAGCUCUUCCUCAGACUCUGAAGACGAGAAUGAAAAGAGCGCCAAGAGGAAAAAGAAGCGGUCCUCCAAGAAAGCAUCAGAUGACUCUACUGUAGAAUUGGAGCCCGACGGCAAGGUUAGUUUGAUAUGGGUGAGAAGAGCCGCAGGAAGAAGAGGACAGCUGAGCGAAGUCGUAAAGACUCCUCCUCAGAGUUGUCUGCUGACUCCGACGUGGAGGGUGGUGAACCCAAGAAGAGGAAGAGAAGUAGUGAAGAGAAGGAGAAAGACAAAAUGACAGCAGUAGGUGAUUUAAGUCAGUCAAGCAUACAGUAACCACAGGAUGAUGACGGCCACUGCCUUUUAUUUUUGCCAGACAGAUGUUUACUGGUGCGGUGUCCGGCAUGUCAGAAAUGGACAAAUCAAAGAAGAAGAGGAAAAAGAAGCACAAGAAACACGAAGGAAGAAGAAGAAAACAAUCUUCUGACACAGAGUUAGACUAGCGGUGUGGUUCUGUCCACUAGUAGAGAGCUUCUGCCUUCCAACUACCAACAAAUCCCACCUGGGCUGCCCCCCCAUGACUGGGAUAGUUGGUGCACUAUGGGAACUGCUGGCUUGAGAGUAUUAAACUAAUACCGCGUUCAAAACAACUGGGAACCUGGGAAAAAAACAAGCUCCGACUGGGGAAAAAUCGUUUUGAGCGGUCAUCCAACUCAGAAUUCCAAGUCGGAAACUUGGGCAUCUUUCUAGAACUGACUUUCCGACCUGAAGAUCACGGACAUCAUUAUUUGACCUCGUUUAUUUUCAGAGUUCCCAGUUGUCUUGAAAGCAACAUAAGGACUGGUGAACUAGAAUCAAACCCUCUGUGAAAACGUAAUGUUUUUUCUUAGCAGUUUUUAUUCAAUCUAAAUAAUAAGGAAACCACAAGUCAAGUGUGGCCCAACUGAACUGCAAAAUGUGCCUAUGAAAAUGUACUUCCAUUUUGUACACCCUUGGUGUGCUGGCCUUCUAUGUAUAAUUUUUACUUCUUGACAAUCUCAUCUUUCUAAAACUGCAUCGCUAGCUACACAAUGAGGUAAUUUUGGGACUUUUAUGCUAGUGCCAUGGUGUGUGUGUGUGUGUGUGUGUGUGUGUGUGUGUGUGUAAUCUGAUAUGAUGGACACUUCUCUUGUCAUCCUCAUGUAAAUUGGGAUUGUAAAAAUGCAAGUCAAAUGGUCAUAAUCACAAGGGACAAUCUGUUAAAUGUAAUGAGUUAUACAACUAUGAAUGAUAUCUAUAAAUGAAUCUGGUUUCAUUAUUAAAGUGUUAAUGUUUUAGCCAUGA
Molecule: non-coding RNA, 1987 nt
Organism: Salmo salar (Atlantic salmon)
Lineage: Eukaryota; Metazoa; Chordata; Actinopteri; Salmoniformes; Salmonidae
Source: RefSeq, a predicted model, not a curated record